Long non-coding RNA from Prionailurus viverrinus (fishing cat), 497 nucleotides. RefSeq lists it as uncharacterized. Lineage: Eukaryota; Metazoa; Chordata; Mammalia; Carnivora; Felidae. The transcript has 3 exons. The record is from RefSeq and is a predicted model, not a curated record.
GACGCGGGGCUUGAACUCACAAACCGCGAGAUCGUGACCUGAGCUGAAGUCGGAUGCUUAACCCACUGAGCCACCCAGGUGCCCUGAAAUGUGCUUUAAGUGUAAAAAUGCACACUGGAUUUUGAAGACUCACUACAAAAAAAGAAGGUAAGAAACACUAAGUCAACUGGAGAAGCAUAUGUGGCCUUGAGCUAUGGGACAUUAUUACUUCCCUUUAACACCGCUACUGAGAAAUGUUGAACCUCACUUUGGUGUAGUCAGUGUUGGUCUUCGACAGUGAAUGGAUACACUGCCAGGCAGACUCCCCGACGUGGUGCUCCAUUUUGGUCAUGUCCCAGUCUCCAUGGCAAGCUCAACACCACGUUCCAGGGAACUUCCCAGAUCACCUGAACUUGGAUAAGCCCUUCCCUUCCUGAGCAGUGAUAUCAAAUUUUGAUUAAAAAAAAGUUUUUUUAUGUUUAUUUUUGAGAGAAAGAGAGAGAGAGCACAAGCAGGGG